RNAcentral lists this unclassified non-coding RNA (382 nucleotides) under soil metagenome. RNAcentral describes it as "partial contains 5.8S ribosomal RNA, internal transcribed spacer 2, and large subunit ribosomal RNA". The stretch from base 1 to 120 matches the Rfam family "5.8S ribosomal RNA", at positions 35 to 154 of the family's 154-position model. The record is from RNAcentral.
GAUGAAGAACGCAGCGAAGUGCGAUAAGUAAUGUGAAUUGCAGAAUUCCGUGAAUCAUCGAAUCUUUGAACGCAAAUUGCACUCUCUGGUAUCCCGGGGAGUAUGCCUGUUUGAGGGUCAGUGUUAAUAAAAAUCGGUGCGUUGCACUUUAUUGUGACGUUCUGGAGUUUGAGUUAUCUUAACUUUUAGGUUAAGAGGCUUAAAAUUGACCUUUUUUUGUGCAUUUUAGACGUACAUAAAUUUUCUUUUAUUUGUCUUUUAAUGCCAAAAUUAUAUUAGAUGCGACCAUAUCGUGUGGUUUCGUGUCUAUAAAUUUUUCAUGAUUUGACCUCCAAUCAGGUAGGAGUACCCGCUGAACUUAAGCAUAUCAAUAAGCGGAGGA